This is a non-coding RNA of Peromyscus maniculatus bairdii (prairie deer mouse), 7791 nucleotides long. Lineage: Eukaryota; Metazoa; Chordata; Mammalia; Rodentia; Cricetidae. The record is from RefSeq and is a predicted model, not a curated record.
UCCCAGCUUUGAUUCACCCAUUCAACUUCCGUCUUUCUACAUAAUUCACACAAAUGAAAGAGUGAGAAAAUUCACCAAGUCAUUCUGAGAGGGAGAAAAAAAAAAAACACCAAAGCUUCGGUACAUGCACAAAAACAGCAAUUUGACUGCACAAAUAAAUGGCAAAUUUGUCUGUCUGUGUUGGAAUUCAAUGCAGUGGAAGAAAGGCCUUCACAGAAGAUGAGGCUCCAACAUCAUCAAAAGCGGCUGGUACAGAAAGCGCCAUUCAAAUCCCCGGGACGGCACUCGCCGCUAAUUAGUUCUGUGAGGUCUUUUGACAUCCAGUUCAAGGAAUCUCUGCGAAAAAAUUCCAAUUUAUGAAACACACUCGCAGGCAACCUAAGGCGGCUAUUCAGAUUUCCACCAAGGAGAACGUGAUGUUGUCCACCUCCUCUCCGGUGGCAAUUUUCAUUUCUCAUCCGUACGGCAGCGCAGCCCACGGGAGCCGAGGGAAGAGACCGCUCUGCGCUGAAAGGCAGGGCCGUGGCCAGAGACUUCAGGUCGGCAAUGGACUGCGGAGUAGCUGGGAGGCUGCACCCGUGAUCUUCAGAGAGCAGAUCCUGGACUAGGGAGGACACCGAGUUGACAAGUCAGUCAUGGAUUCUGAAACACAGGGCUGCAAACCCAGGUUUUUCUAGAAGACUUGAGUCAGUGGGUAACUCUGCCUGUGGUGUUUGAAUACGCCUGGCACUUGAGACAUAAGAGGUGGGACCUGGGUCCAGACUCAAAGCUGGUUUCCAGACUGCUCCCGGAAGAUCAUUAUUUUUCAUUGGAAUCGACAGGAAGGGGGAACAAAGCUGCAAUCAAUAAAAGCUUCUUUGGAAACGGCAUGCGUUCCCAUGAUCCAUCGUGCAAUGAUCUAUGCAGCAGGGGGCUUUUCCGUUAUGUCUGCGGAGGCCAGGAGAAAUACACUUCAGGAGGCUGGGCAUCUAGAGCCUCUCAGGUGGUGAUGGGGAAGGAAAAACAUUCUCAAGAGGGUCCAGUCAUUGAAGAAACUCGGAGGUGAUCGUUCUUAAAGUGGGGUCCCCCACUACAGCAGCAUGGCCUGGGGACCCUGCAGAUGUAGAUCCUCAGGUCCCACCCCCAACACCUGUCAAACCCAAAACCUGGGUAGGGGGUAAUCUGGGUUGGAAGGACUCAGGCAAUCCUGCUGCAAGUGGCAGUUGGGUGCCACUGUUUUCUGCCUCACAAACCCAGAGGCUUGGAUGGGACAUGGACUACAGCUCUCUGCUCAGAAAUUGGUCCAACCUGGACAUUAACUCCUACCUUGCUUCGCAGACAGGACCCCAGUCAGAGCGCUACUGCUGGACUUGCCUUGGCUCUUGGAGUUUUUCCGUCUCUCGAGAGCAUUCUGCAACAGCAAUAGAAAAACCAAAAACCUUGUCAGGAAAGACAGCGAUGGAAAAAUACUUUGUUAAGGAGAUAUACCCCGUGUACUCACAAGAUCACUGGCAGACUCCAAAUGUAGCCUAAAACAUAGAACUCUCAAUCCUUGGGAUUUUAAAAGACUCCAUAUAGAGAGCCUGAUUGGUUUUUAAGUUACUGCAAAGGAGAAAGGCAGUAACUGUAGUCUCUUAUCUAACAUGUAGAGAGUUUGUUAUGGAAAUCACUUUAGAACAGACAUGAGAUGAAGACUACAUUUGCUUUCAUGUACCAAUGGUGGUAUUUGGAAAGAUAUGAUGUUUGGAUUGUAAAAGGAUCAUGGUCAGUUAGUGAUGUCUGCCUUGGACACAGGAUUAAGUACACAUGUUGCUAUGGUCAUUCUUAGAAUGGACUCUUGUCUUCACACUGAUGUAUAGUAGUCAGCCAUUGUUUCGAAUAUGAACACGAUACAUGACACAGGAAAGGAUGCAUAUGGUUAUAAAUGCAUAUACUAAAAAGCACAUACUUCCUUCUUCAUGUUUAUAUACAGAUUGAUGUAAACGAGAGUGUGGCUUCCACCAAAUGGAAAGCCAUGGUUACCUCUGAGGACAAAGCCAAUGUCAACAACCAGGACAAUGAGCCAGCUCUCCCUAGAAUUCUGUUGGCUAUAAAACUUCCGCAGCGGGAAGAACCAUCAAUCUAUUUUCAAAGCAGAGAGUCCCAGGAGAGUUUUCCAAUUAUAACACUUACAACUAACACUGCAGAAAUAGAUAUUAUCCAACCAAUGGAGUUGGAAUUGGACUAAACAACAGUGAGGCAAAUUCAAACACUCUCCCCUCUCUGUGUGCCUCAAACUUUAGCAUUUGGGUUGUGAUGCUCCAUCCUUGCUUCUUCUCCCACAGAAGCUAUUUUCUUGGGGAUAAUUAUGAGAUAAACAGCAUCUGACAACUAGACAUUUCAUAGAGGAAGCGGAGAGGACCCCUGAGGUCAAAAGGCUGAGGCUCCAAGGUGGAAGCACAUAGGAGUUCCCAGGAUGCCCUGUCCAGACUAUAGACAUAGAAACAGAUACGGGGGUGGGGUGGGGGACAUGGCGUUGGGAGUUGACCUUUUUGUGGUUGGUUUCACUGGCUAUUCCAAUUAGGGGUCUUACUGGACUCCAUUUGGGAGGACAGGAAAGGGAUGGGAUGUCUUUAAAACAUAAGAGGGAAUGAAAACAGGCUGACAGGCAGAUGCUGAGUGGAGAAUCACAGGCUUGGUCUUGAUUGUGUUACCUUGUAUUUGGCAAUGUUUGACUUCAGAAGGCUGACCUCCUCAUGGAGUUGUUUCAAUCUCUCUUGGAGAUAUCUAGAAGAAAAAAAAAUUCACAUAACCAGGAUGGGCAUGGGGGAGGAAUGAAGCCCACUGAAUGAUAAGAGCAAAACAUGAAGCCCAGGUGUCAUUUGUAUGUAACGACUUCUUUCUCAUCCUGGAGGGCAGGGGCAGGGAAAUGUGACCUUUUAUGAAACGGAUUCGAUCAAGGUCAGACAUGCCCGAAGCACAGACACCCCAUUUUAAAAACAGCCCUCUCGGAGAUCCCCUAAGGGACAACAACAUCCUUUUCAUAUAAUUCUCAUUAAGUGAUUCCACCAGGGAGCAAACCAGGAAGAGAAGACGCCAGCCAUAACACGAGUCAGACACAUCCACACGCUGAAAUGUGCCUGGGGGGGAAGACACAGCUAAGGGAAUUUCUCCAUUUAUUUUCUUAUUCUUUCUCCUCUCCUUGACAGCAAUCACAAACAACUCUUCCUGGUUCUUCACCCUCGUGGCCCAAACAGAGGUGUGGGAGCGAGGGAGGCUGGAUAAGUGGGCGUCUCUCCCUUCUCUUCUUACUUUUGUAACCAGUCCAUGCCACUGCCAAUAUUUGGGAUCUGUGACUUGCUCUUUAUUCCCAUCGCAGCUGUCUCAAGUGCAGGCAGGGCUGCAGGAACCCCCAGACUGCCUCCCUCAGCUGCACUCACCUGUUCUCCAUGCACAGAGCAUCCACAUCAAUGAUACGGUUCUCGUGACCACCCAGGAUGUGGUUGAGCUCCUGGUUCAGCCUGUCCACUUUGUCCUGGUAGGAAGCCCGUUCUUCCUUAACAUCCUGGAGUUCAUCCACCGAGGCCUGCAGGUCAUGUUCUAAGGACUCGAUCUGAAAUCCAAGGAGUGUCACAGUGGUCCUCAAACGUGGGCUUUUGGGUCAGGGGUUAGCUUCCACUAGACUGGCUGACUUGGAGAGCUUAUGGAUACUGAUCAUGUGUUAGUUAUCCACACUGCACUGCAGGCUGGGUAAGGGCUGGAGCUAUGGAACACUUUCCCCCCAGACACUUAGCAUGGGUGGGACAGAUGAGCCUGAUCUCCAACCCCUGCACAUUGCUCCCAUUCACAGGCAUGGAAAGAGCAGGCUGAUUCUAGAGUCUUACAGAUGCUUGCUGUUCCAAGCCAAUAAAACCUGGGCAUCCUGUGCUCAGUUAGCUCGAGAAGAGAAAAGGGAGUCCUUGCUCCUGUAGCUGCUUCCCAAGCACAGCUCUGUGCCUUCUGAAAUCUCUCCCACAAAGCAUCACUUAGCAUCUUAGUGGGAACUCGUAAGUUAAAGGGCAGUUUCUCACUUUUCCUGCCCACUGCCUAUGUGGGUGGCUGGCGGCAAGUCUCUUGGUGUGCUCAGAACAAUGGACAAUCAGUGCUGGAUACCCCCGGCUAGGGGUCACACACUCAGCAUGAACCUAGCAAGAGCCGAGGAAGUCUAGCCCUCUCGGCAUCCCCUGGCCUCCUCUUGUUCAUGGACACACAAGCAUAUGUUCCCUGCUUCCUGUUAGGAGGGGCCGUGGGAGCAUGUGUGUCCUACUUCCUGUGAGGAGGGGCCAUGGGAGCAUGUGUGUCCUGAUUCCUCUUGUGAGGCCACCCACAACAGAGCUCAGCAGUCACCUGUUCCUUAGCUCGCUCCAGCUGCUCCACCAAAUCCUCUCGCUCAUGGGCUGCGAAAUGCCUCCUGCCAAUUUCUUCAUCUCCGAGCCUUUGCUUGGCAAUUGUCAUCCUCAACAGCUGCAUUUCCCAUUAUCAGAACAGAAAGGCAAAGGAAGAGAGAAAGAAUAUGAAUGAGUACAUCUCCCCAAACCUCAAGGACCUAUAUAGAAAUGUCUGGAAGAAUAAAACUCUUGCAGGAACUACUGGAAGAAAGUAAAGGACAAACGACUUGCCAAUAUUAUGAAGUUUUAAGAAAGAGAAAAUUUCUGUAACAAUUUGUGCUUGUUAAUACACAUGCGCAGACAUCCAGGGUAACACUGGGGUACCCAGGCUCGACCCUGGAAGGUGGAUGUGCUAUGGGGCACUGCCACAGUGAGGAAAAACAUCUUGAGCCUCAUUUAGACUUAGCGAAGAUCCAGAAUUACCCCCUACGGCUGGUUAGGAUCUGCUGAGAUGGACACACCCCACAUUGAACCCCUAGGCCAUGCUAUCAAGAACUUUAAAAAUGCUAUUCAAUGUCUAGUAAAUGCUUCUGUCAAUGUGGUCUGUGAAUGAUCCCAGGUGUGGACUAGCUUAUCGAGAAGACAAGUAGAGUGCACUGAAGAACACAAGUCUUGCCUGCACUAUGACCAAGUAUAUGCUAAGAACUUAUGUGUGAGAGAAUGCAUAAAGAGACCAAAUACAUCAAGUACUCAGAUAGGUGUGUUUGGGGAUAUGGAUACUGUGCAUACUGUCUUCCUAGCUCCCACCUCCCAGGUAAGGCCACAGCAGGAAUUAUGGGAGAGGUCCCAGGAUGAACCCAUAGUCUCAGAACAUCUAUGCCUGCCCAUCACAACGUUCUUAUCCUAAAAAGGUUCACCAUGCACUGACUUCUCCCUAUGGAUGUAUGUGGAUACAUACCCAUGAAGCCCCAGGAACACAUUGCUCCUAUCAUGUGGGUAUGACAGCCCAGCAUAGCUCACUGUGAGCAUGCUCUUUCUUGCUUCUGCUUGAGCCUUAGAAUGGUGACCAGUACAAGGGCCUAAACUUCAGCAUUUCUGAAGGAUUUGGGUCAGGUGAUCGACAGAAAGUUAAUUUAAGCCAAGGCAGAAUUACCUAAUUCAAGUUAUAACAGCAAUGAACUUGAAAAGAAAUGAAUACUGUAGAAAUGCAGACAGGAUGCAAUGACCCUUCACCGCUCCAUUGAAUCUCACAAUGUCUGUUGUGUGCCACGGGCCACAGCCUGGCAGAGGAUAGAGGAUACUCACACACAGAACUGCAUUCUUAAUGGAAUCUGCUAAGUCUAUCCUUGGAGUUCACAGCUCAUGGAUUUGUGGGUUUCCCUACUCCAUGCAACUUACUUGUUUUCACCCCCAAAUCCAUGUUCAAAGUCUUCCAGUGUCAUUCACAGAGUGAGAAAAAUGUGAAGGCCAGACGUUCAGCCCACCUUCUGCCUCCCUGCCUCACACUAUGGAUGGCCUGUCUGUGGCCUGCUUGGUGCUGAGUGCCCACAUUUUUAUUUUUCUUUGAUGACUUUGGUGGUUUUAUAAAAGUCACAUACUUGUGGGACUCAGUGUGUUGCCUACAGGCAUGUAUAUACUGUAUGAUGGUCAUGGCAGGGUAGUUAAUACAGACUUCACUUUCCACGUUUAUCAUUUAUCAUGGAACUCUUUGGAAGCUAACUGUUCUGCAAUACACAGUGCACGGUGCCAAUUGACCAUAGUCACCUACUGCGCAAUAAAGUGUGGCACUUAAUCCUUCCAAAGUGUGGCUGUGUCAGGAUGCUGACACCUGUGCUCUCCCAUGCCACCUCACUCUCAGAGAAACACUGUUCUCUAUGCUACUCGGUCCUGUUCGCUUUUCUGUUUCUGUGAUAAACCACUCUGGCCAAAAGCGACUUGGGGAGGGAAGGGUUGGGCUUGGUUUACACUUCCAGGCCACAGCCCAUCCCUGAGGGAAACUGGGUCAGAAACUCAAGCAAGAACUGCAGGAAGCAAAACCGGAGCUACUGACUGCCUUGCUCCUGGCUCAUGCUGAGCUAGCUGUCUCAGGUAACCCAGAUGCAACUGCCCAGGGAUGGUGCUCUCUCCCAGCCCCACCCCAGUGGGCUGAGCCCUCCCACAUCAAUCAAGAUAACCUCUCACAGACAUGGCCACCGGCCAAUCUGAUGGAGGCAAUUCUUCAGGUAAGGGGCUCUCUUUCCAGGUGAUUAAAGGUUGUGUUAAGUUGACAAUAAAAACUAGCUAGUGCACCAUCUCUGUGAAAAACCCUUUUAAGAGUCUGGAUAUGAAUGUGAUCAUGUGGUAAUUGUCUUUCUGUGCUUUCUUUAUCCUUCCUUCCUUCCUUCCUUCCUUCCUUCCUUCCUUCCUUCCUUCCUUCCUUCCUUCCUUUCUUUCUUUCUUUUGCUAGCACGAUGUCUUCUGGAUUUCAUCCAUUAUGAAGACAGAAUGGUAUCCCACUGGGUACAUGUACCAUAUCUUCUUUAUCCAGUCCAUUGAUAGACACUUAGGUUGACAUCAUGCUGUAGUUAGCCCGAGUAGCACAUCAAGGAACGUGGGCAUGCAGGCAUCUUUUCAAUACACUGAUUUUAUUCCUUUGAAUCCAUACCCGGCAGUGCAACUGCUAUAGUUUGCUGUACAUAUAUAACAUUUUAUUUAUUUAUAAUUUGAAGUGCUACAGAAUUUCCUCCCAUGGCUCUACUAAUCUACACUCCCAUUGGCAGUGUGGAAAAGGUCUCCUGACAACGGAUUCAUGCAUACUGCCUGGAUGCUGUCUAGUGUCUCUGAGUACAAGAAGGAAGGUUGUGAUGUGCCUCAUCGGGAAAAUUUGUGAAUUAAGGCAGCUCCCUCUGAGUCUAAGUUAAAGAAUGGCCCCAGCUACCUUUGAACAGGACCUUCAGUUUCAAGAAGUCUAGUACCACUGUGGAAGGAGCAAUCUUAUCAAGGCCUGGAGUGAACAUCUUUCAAAAUGGUGCUUUCUGAUAACCAACAACUCCCCACAGAAGAGAAAACUAUCUUCAUUUGUCAAGGAAUUUGAUAACAUCUCGAAAACGUCUCCCCAAGAUAGCACCCCUGAACACACAGAGACACAAUACAGCAUUUCCGACUCGAAAUCCAGCGCCCUCUCUGUUGGAAACACCGCCUCUGGCGAAGGGCUGAAAAUGAAUCUGUCCAUGCCGGGCAAAACGGAAAAUUAUUUGGGGGAACAGAAUUUAACUUCGAUAGUUUUUCUUCUCUUUUUCAAUUGUACUUUUGUUCGUAGCUUCAGCUGGGAGUGAGCGAGUGCACACAUUUAGUUUGGAGUUUAUGAGUUCAUAUUUUAUAAUUAACGUUGCCAACAGGGGAGUUUGAUUAAUGCCGAGCAGUGGAUUUUGAGCAAUGUUCCAUACAAAUUGCCAAAUUUAGCAAUAAAGUAAAUUGGUGAUGUGAA